UAAGUCCUACGGGAGGCAGCAGUGAGGAAUAUUGGUCAAUGGCCGCAGGGCUGAACCAGCCAAGUCGCGUGAGGGAUGACGGUCCUAUGGAUUGUAAACCUCUUUUGUCAGGGAGCAAAGGGCGCCACGUGUGGCGUUUUGCGAGUACCUGAAGAAAAAGCAUCGGCUAACUCCGUGCCAGCAGCCGCGGUAAUACGGAGGAUGCGAGCGUUAUCCGGAUUUAUUGGGUUUAAAGGGUGCGCAGGCGGGCUGUUAAGCCGGCGGUAAAAAUUCAGGG
This 277-nucleotide ribosomal RNA is filed under the name uncultured bacterium. RNAcentral describes it as "partial 16S ribosomal RNA". It matches the Rfam family "Bacterial small subunit ribosomal RNA", at positions 333 to 607 of the family's 1533-position model. The record is from RNAcentral.